This is a long non-coding RNA of Oxyura jamaicensis (ruddy duck), 271 nucleotides long. RefSeq lists it as uncharacterized. The transcript is spliced from 2 exons. The record is from RefSeq and is a predicted model, not a curated record. Lineage: Eukaryota; Metazoa; Chordata; Aves; Anseriformes; Anatidae.
GAUAGCAAGAAUCUCAACUAACAGCAGUGCUGCUUCAGCCAGUUGUUCUUAAUAGCCCUGCAGAGGAAGGAAGAUUUAUAGACAGGAACUGAACAAGGUGAAAAAACAACAAAGAGGUGAAAUGUCAUUCUCAAAGUCACAUAUGGCUUUCCUUGGAACCAGCAACUUCUACUCUCCUGUUCUUACCGCAAGACCACAAUGCCUAGUUAACGUGAUAGUUCCCAGUGUGAAAUGGGCUCCUGAGAAUUAAAUGUGUAACCUGUAAAAUAUA